GCUGGAGGUGACUGGGGAGACCAGAGACGGGGUGUGGAGUACCUAUAAGAGCGUCAAGUCCCACUAAUCGUUCCUCCUUUACUAUCCCUCUCUCUUAUAUUUCUGCAACCUCUCCCAUGGACCCACCACCGCCCCCUCAACCGCCGCCUUCUUCUUCCCUUUCCACCGCUACCACCACCUCUGCCACCCCCACCAACACCACCGCGGCAACCACCUUGCCCCCUCACCUAGCCGCUACCAAUACCUCCGCCGGAACCUACCCUGACUCCAUUGAUUCCUCUCCUCGCUCUCGCACGACUGAUUCUUAUUUUGAUGACCCCCCUCCCCUCUCCUCAAAGCUCCGCCUCAU
Molecule: unclassified non-coding RNA, 349 nt
Filed under: Hevea brasiliensis (rubber tree)
Lineage: Eukaryota; Viridiplantae; Streptophyta; Magnoliopsida; Malpighiales; Euphorbiaceae
Source: RNAcentral